UGCACAAAGUGUAUUUACUGUGUAUGCACACUAAUAUAUAUAUAUAGUGUGUAUACACAGUAAAUACACUUUAUGUGCAUUAUAUAA
Non-coding RNA from Pelobates cultripes (western spadefoot toad), 87 nucleotides. The record is from the annotation of a GenBank genome assembly. NCBI's taxonomy places the organism in Eukaryota, Metazoa, Chordata, Amphibia, Anura, Pelobatidae.